UGAGUGAAAUGUGGGGUGGGGACUGCUAUCCUCAAAGCUGCUCCUGCCUGGCGGAGGGUAUUCAGGGAGGACUCGGAGCACAGACCCUGCCCUGCCAACCUCCUAGCCUUUGAGUCAGGACACAUCACUGAACCUCCCCAAACCUCAGUUUCCUCAUUUGCUAAAUGGACCAUGACAUUUGCUUAACCUGGAGGCUGCAGGGAAAAUUUCCUGCAUCAAAAAUAAGAGUAACGCCUCCCCUCAAUUCUUUCCCACGUGCCAGGUACUCUCAGGAGGUUCUGCUUACGCAGAUGUGCGUGAAAGUAUUUUGUAUCGUCACAAUCUAAAGAGCUAUAAGGCAUUUUUCUUCUUUUGAAUCGUAGUCAAAGUGCCCCUUUUCACAGAAGGUCCACAGGGAAGUCACAGUUAGGUCUGAGCCAUGUACCUCAAUGCAGGAAAUUAUCCUUACCCUGGAAGAGGUUCACAGAAGCAACCACAAGGAUGGUUAAAUCCUCUCACAAAACCUGGCUUCGGGGGACAUAACGGAUGCUCCACAUGGGUGGCUGGAAGACAGUGCAGAAUCUCGGUAUUAAGACUUGGGGCAUCAUGUGUUGCUGCAAAACUUCAUCAGGGACACUUUCGGCCUCAGGAAAUUAAUCUUCGAAUGGCAUGAGAUGCAUGGGGGCACUUGAGCACUUUGCAAUGUGUGCAAUGAGAAUACAUUUCCAGGAAACUACUCCGCGUUUCCUUCAUCCCCUAAUGACCUGCCUGGGAACAGGCUGCACCUGCACACAGGGUCUCCUUUCCCACUUGAAGAAAAGCACAGCAUAUG
RNAcentral lists this long non-coding RNA (811 nucleotides) under Pan troglodytes (chimpanzee). RNAcentral's name for it is "long non-coding RNA NONPTRT005452". The record is from RNAcentral. Lineage: Eukaryota; Metazoa; Chordata; Mammalia; Primates; Hominidae.